This 662-nucleotide long non-coding RNA is filed under the name Lynx pardinus (Iberian lynx). The record is from RNAcentral. Lineage: Eukaryota; Metazoa; Chordata; Mammalia; Carnivora; Felidae.
AGCAUGAAAAGAAGUUCCUUUUCUCUGAGACUAUCAAAACUACAUAAAUAUUUGAGUUUAACGAACCAUCCUCAACCUUCCAGAUAUGAAAAGACUUGGAAGGAAAUUAUAUUUUGCAGUUGUAAACUUAUCUCAGCAUGCUGGGAUUUCCACAUUUAAGUUCUAUUAAUGCUUUUCAAUGCCAGCAUGAAAACAUAUACCUUAGACAAUCUUCCUCAGUGGUAUUUCUUACAGGGAGCUGAUUAGACUAAAUAAAAUAAAGCAGUAAACUAAAUAGGCAAACCCUCUGUGGACACACACCGAAAAAGAACGUUCAAGUUGGUUUGUUUACUAUUUUCUUCUAUCAAUAUAUCUUAGGAAACCUACCGAGGAAUUACAGUACAAACAAGAAAAAUAAAGAGCCCUGAGGAAUAAGUGAUCAUUUUUCCUGCGUAUAUGAUUCCAAAUAGUUCACUUUAAUAGACAUUGAAAGACCGUUACUAUGCACUCUUAGCUGUAAAUCACUUAAUCCAUUCUUUCUAGUCAUCCAUUUUUUGUGUCAGGUUCGGAACAUAUGCACCAAACAGGUCCUACAAAUACAAAAGGUCCAUCGUUAUUGGUUUUGUGUUUUCAUUUACGACAUAAUUAAGUUAUAAAUGUUCUCCUAAUAGUGUGCGUUUUGG